GGCUUCGUGGUCAAGUGGUAAGGACACUUGCUUCUCAUCCAGAAGUCCGGGGUUCAAUCCCCGGUCGAGUUG
Non-coding RNA from Rhamnusium bicolor, 72 nucleotides. The record is from the annotation of a GenBank genome assembly. Lineage: Eukaryota; Metazoa; Arthropoda; Insecta; Coleoptera; Cerambycidae.